UAUGACUCUGCUUUUUAUGCUCAUCAGCUUAGGCUAAGGGGCACUUUUUAGCUGCCAAGGAACAAAGUUUCCAGUUAUUUAAUGUUUUGCGUAUUUUUUUCUUUUCUAGAUGCUUCCCCUGAGGCAGCCCACUGUUGUGCUUGUCAUAUCACUUGGGUGCCUGUAGACAUCUGUAUGCUUCUCCAGCUGCGUGGGAGACACACUUCACCUUGUGGCUCCUCCUUUCAAAGGUUGCAUGUGCUGUAUGGAGGAACAGUUGACUUUGCUGAUAGAGAACGUCUCAUUGCACCCCCUUUCCACACCAUCUGUCUGACCUGGACCCAUUCCAAACACUACGGCUUUGCUGGCAGAAUGGUCUUCCUGCUACAGAAGUUUUGUAAUCUGCUAAUUGACAGGGCACUGUGCUACACUGCGGGAACAUAGCAGUGAAUAAGACAGAGGUGGCUCCAACCUCUCAGAACUUAGUGAAGAAAAGCCGGAAAUCCAGACAUUGAUCUCCACUGUGUACCGGGGCUCUGUCCACAGCGGACAGCUGACCACAGCAUUGCUGUUUCAGGUAGGAUUAGAAGUCUGAUCCAACCCACCUUCUAUUAUUUGGUUGGUGGCUGGCUGGUGGAUAUGACCAGGAACAGCCACUUGUCCAAAAGCAGAGAUUUUAGUCUGGAAAAUAAUAAACAUCCUAAGGGAACACUGAAAUAAAAACCGUAAGUGGAAUUCAGCAUUCAGCUCCAGACUAAUGAAGCCAGCAGUGUGGCAAGAAUACAACACAGAAAUCUUCUUGAAGGUUGAGAGAGGUGCACUACAGCACUUGAUGGUUUUACCAGCAAUACAAAUAGCAGGCAGGAACGAGUAGAGCUUUUGAAAAAAUGCCCAAACCAGGCAGCACAACAGAGAUAAAUAAAAUACACAGUAAAGAGACAAAAUAAUAAAAUACUGUAAUUUGGUCUCCCAGCAUGAAGGAGGGAAGCUAAGACGCAAAGAAUGGAUUAGAAUUCAUGAGUCAUUUGUUCAGCUUGGAACUGAUGGAGUCCUAGCUGGUUGGAGAGGCUAGAGCCAGCUGGUUGUUCUUCCUUCCAACCCUGAGAUCCCUGUACAAUGGACCCGUGCUCUCAUUCUUUCUCCUUCGAGGUUAACCAUUUUUUUAAGCAACAACUUUGGGCCCGGCACUGUGCUUUUCAUCUUCACAAAGCCCUGCAAGGAAUAUAUAAGGAAACUGGGGCUCAGAGAUGUGUCGCGACCUGCUCUGAGGUCACUCAGCUGGUGCAGAGGCCACAGCUAAUCCCAAUCUUUGUGACUGUCACUGGUGCUCCUCUUCCUAUAGUCUAGUGCUUCUGCUGUCCUUUGACAUUUGACAAACGACCUCUGUUUGAGAGGCAAAGCAAAAGUCUCACCAAAGUGAGCACCAGGGAGCCAAACAGUGUAGAAAUAGCCCUUUCCAAGGAUAAAAGGCAGAGACAUCCUUUUAAUUACCUACUUCUGAGGCUGCCUUAAGUCAGGGCCUGCUAAAGGAGUGAUUAGAGAAACAAGUCUCCUCUUGUAGUGCCAGGAAGUAAGAAAGUAAUUAAAACAAAACAAAACUAAACUAAACUAAACCCCACGAUUGGGGGGGGGGUAUGUCAAAGAGAGACAGGAGCCAGCUGAAAGAGCUUCCAAUGGUCAAAGCUGGAGCAAUUUGAGCAACACAAUAAAUAAAGGAGUACUGAGUUAUAUAACCCAAGUCUAAAAUAAAUAUCUAAGAGUCCAUACUAAAAUCAGUGCAUGAUGGAAUAAAUAAGUAAGUGGAAAAGAGACAAAUCUCCUGUGCACAAGAAUUCCAAAUAAUGAAUGUAGAUCUUUGCUCUCAAGGAGGGGAGGGUAACUCCCUACUCCUUAUGUGUGGGUUGCAGGUAGUAACUUCUUUCCGAUGAGUACAGUAUGGAAAGGGGUUAACUGAACAGGGGAGAAACCUGACAAACACUUCCCGAGCCAGGUGAUCAAGGUCAACUUCAAUAGUGAUGCCCUGUGGAUAGUAUGUGCCCCUGAUAAUGAUAUGAUGAAAACGGCAUCUACCUCUGUGUUCUCCCAAAUCCCAUCAUCCCAAGAGAAGAACAUUCUACAAAAUAACCGACCAGUCCUCCUCAGAACUGGAAAGUCAUCAAAAACAAAAAGCACCUGAGAAACUGUCAGAGGCAAGAGAAACCUAAGGAGGCAGGAAGACUAAAUGUGAUGUGGUGAGGGGGCUGAGGGGAGCUGAAGAUUAAUGUGUACUAACAAGGCAGUUAGAAUGAAUAAGACCUACUAUUUGAUAGCACAACAUGGUAACUAUAGCCAAUAACAACUGUACAUCUUAAAAUAACUUAAAGAAUGUAAUUGAAGGCUGGGCGCAGUGGCUCUUGCCUAUAAUCUCAGCACUUUGGGAGACUGAGGCGGGUGGAUCACCUGAGGUCAGGAGUUUGAGACCAGCCUGGCCAAUAUGCUGAAACCCUGUCUCUACUAAAAAUACAAAAAUUAGCCAGGCGUGGUGCUGGGCACCUGUAAUCCCAGCUACUUGGGAGGCUGAGGCAGGAGAAUUGCUUGAACCCUGGAAGCAGAGGUUGCGGUGAGCUAAGAUCACGCCACUGUACUCUAACCUGGGUGACAGAGUGAGACCCUAUCUUAAAAAAAAAAAAAAAAAAGAAUGUAAUUGAAUUAUUUGUAAUUCAAAUGAUAAAUGCUUGAUGAUGUGUUUAUUUCACAUUGCAUGCCUGUAUUAAACAUCUCAUGUACUCCAUAAACAUAUACACCUAGUAUGUAUUCACAAAAAUAAAAAAUAAAAUUAAAAAAGUGUAAUAUGGUGUCCUGGAUGGGAUCUUGGAACAGAACAAGGACACAAGGUAGUAACUAAGGAAAUACGGAUAAAACAUAGACUUUAGUUAGUGAUAAUGUAUUGAUACUGGUUCACUAAUCUGAACGAAGAUGUUAAUAAUAGGGAAAACUAGGUAUGGAGCAUAUGGAAACUCUGUAUUCUCUUCUCAAUUUUUCUGUAAAUCUAGAACAGUUCUAAAAAAUUUCCCAUUAAAAAAUAGGCCAAACUCUAUUAGCAGGAUAAUUUUACCAUGAAUUGAAACUGCCUCAUGUAGACGGGGAAUGCUGCCUUCUGUGAUGCUGUUUAUUGCAAUUCCAGUCCGGGUCUUAACCUUCAGCCCACACAAAGGACUGUCGGGCUGCCUUUUGGCCUUCAGAAAGGCUUUGUGGCCUGGGCUCUCCCCAGGGAAGCCAGUGUGCA
Molecule: long non-coding RNA, 3244 nt
Filed under: Callithrix jacchus (white-tufted-ear marmoset)
Lineage: Eukaryota; Metazoa; Chordata; Mammalia; Primates; Cebidae
Description: lncRNA (ENSCJAG00000080870.1)
Source: RNAcentral